GGCUGAGUCUGUGCUCAGAGGCAGAGUGCUCGCCUAGCACGUGUGAGGUACUGGGUUCGAUCCUCAGCGCCGCCU
Molecule: transfer RNA, 75 nt
Filed under: Marmota monax (woodchuck)
Lineage: Eukaryota; Metazoa; Chordata; Mammalia; Rodentia; Sciuridae
Description: tRNA.Ala
Source: RNAcentral